UUUGGCUUGGCAGAAGUAAUGCACCUGACUUAGGAUCAGCCUAUAACACAAGUGUUAGUCGGAG
This 64-nucleotide transfer RNA is filed under the name Ovatella vulcani. RNAcentral's name for it is "tRNA-Leu". The record is from RNAcentral. Lineage: Eukaryota; Metazoa; Mollusca; Gastropoda; Ellobiida; Ellobiidae.